Molecule: non-coding RNA, 72 nt
Organism: Pangasius djambal
Lineage: Eukaryota; Metazoa; Chordata; Actinopteri; Siluriformes; Pangasiidae
Source: the annotation of a GenBank genome assembly
UCCCUCAAGGACUAGCGGUUAGGUUACAGCACUCUCAGCACUGCAGCCUGGGUUCGAUUCCCACCCAGGGAA